Molecule: ribosomal RNA, 497 nt
Filed under: uncultured bacterium
Lineage: Bacteria
Description: partial 16S ribosomal RNA
Rfam family: Bacterial small subunit ribosomal RNA
Source: RNAcentral
GAUGAACGCUUUCUUCUUUCCUAAUACAUGCAAGUCGAGCGAACAGACGAGGAGCUUGCCCCUCUGACGUUAGCGGCGGACGGGUGAGUAACACGUGGAUAACCUACCUAUAAGACUGGGAUAACUUCGGGAAACCGGAGCUAAUACCGGAUAAUAUAUUGAACCGCAUGGUUCAAUAGUGAAAGACGGUUUUGCUGUCACUUAUAGAUGGAUCCGCGCCGCAUUAGCUAGUUGGUAAGGUAACGGCUUACCAAGGCAACGAUGCGUAGCCGACCUGAGAGGGUGAGCGGCCACACUGGAACUGAGACACGGUCCAGACUCCUACGGGAGGCAGCAGUAGGGAAUCUUCCGCAAUGGGCGAAAGCCUGACGGAGCAACGCCGCGUGAGUGAUGAAGGUCUUCGGAUCGUAAAACUCUGUUAUUAGGGAAGAACAAAUGUGUAAGUAACUAUGCACGUCUUGACGGUACCUAAUCAGAAAGCCACGGCUAACUACGUG